RNAcentral lists this ribosomal RNA (2902 nucleotides) under Escherichia coli PCN033. RNAcentral describes it as "bacterial LSU rRNA". It matches the Rfam family "Bacterial large subunit ribosomal RNA". The record is from RNAcentral. Lineage: Bacteria; Pseudomonadati; Pseudomonadota; Gammaproteobacteria; Enterobacterales; Enterobacteriaceae.
UAAGCGACUAAGCGUACACGGUGGAUGCCCUGGCAGUCAGAGGCGAUGAAGGACGUGCUAAUCUGCGAUAAGCGUCGGUAAGGUGAUAUGAACCGUUAUAACCGGCGAUUUCCGAAUGGGGAAACCCAGUGUGUUUCGACACACUAUCAUUAACUGAAUCCAUAGGUUAAUGAGGCGAACCGGGGGAACUGAAACAUCUAAGUACCCCGAGGAAAAGAAAUCAACCGAGAUUCCCCCAGUAGCGGCGAGCGAACGGGGAGCAGCCCAGAGCCUGAAUCAGUGUGUGUGUUAGUGGAAGCGUCUGGAAAGGCGCGCGAUACAGGGUGACAGCCCCGUACACAAAAAUGCACAUAUUGUGAGCUCGAUGAGUAGGGCGGGACACGUGGUAUCCUGUCUGAAUAUGGGGGGACCAUCCUCCAAGGCUAAAUACUCCUGACUGACCGAUAGUGAACCAGUACCGUGAGGGAAAGGCGAAAAGAACCCCGGCGAGGGGAGUGAAAAAGAACCUGAAACCGUGUACGUACAAGCAGUGGGAGCCUCUUUAUGGGGUGACUGCGUACCUUUUGUAUAAUGGGUCAGCGACUUAUAUUCUGUAGCAAGGUUAACCGAAUAGGGGAGCCGAAGGGAAACCGAGUCUUAACUGGGCGUUAAGUUGCAGGGUAUAGACCCGAAACCCGGUGAUCUAGCCAUGGGCAGGUUGAAGGUUGGGUAACACUAACUGGAGGACCGAACCGACUAAUGUUGAAAAAUUAGCGGAUGACUUGUGGCUGGGGGUGAAAGGCCAAUCAAACCGGGAGAUAGCUGGUUCUCCCCGAAAGCUAUUUAGGUAGCGCCUCGUGAAUUCAUCUCCGGGGGUAGAGCACUGUUUCGGCAAGGGGGUCAUCCCGACUUACCAACCCGAUGCAAACUGCGAAUACCGGAGAAUGUUAUCACGGGAGACACACGGCGGGUGCUAACGUCCGUCGUGAAGAGGGAAACAACCCAGACCGCCAGCUAAGGUCCCAAAGUCAUGGUUAAGUGGGAAACGAUGUGGGAAGGCCCAGACAGCCAGGAUGUUGGCUUAGAAGCAGCCAUCAUUUAAAGAAAGCGUAAUAGCUCACUGGUCGAGUCGGCCUGCGCGGAAGAUGUAACGGGGCUAAACCAUGCACCGAAGCUGCGGCAGCGACACUAUGUGUUGUUGGGUAGGGGAGCGUUCUGUAAGCCUGUGAAGGUGUGCUGUGAGGUAUGCUGGAGGUAUCAGAAGUGCGAAUGCUGACAUAAGUAACGAUAAAGCGGGUGAAAAGCCCGCUCGCCGGAAGACCAAGGGUUCCUGUCCAACGUUAAUCGGGGCAGGGUGAGUCGACCCCUAAGGCGAGGCCGAAAGGCGUAGUCGAUGGGAAACAGGUUAAUAUUCCUGUACUUGGUGUUACUGCGAAGGGGGGACGGAGAAGGCUAUGUUGGCCGGGCGACGGUUGUCCCGGUUUAAGCGUGUAGGCUGGUUUUCCAGGCAAAUCCGGAAAAUCAAGGCUGAGGCGUGAUGACGAGGCACUACGGUGCUGAAGCAACAAAUGCCCUGCUUCCAGGAAAAGCCUCUAAGCAUCAGGUAACAUCAAAUCGUACCCCAAACCGACACAGGUGGUCAGGUAGAGAAUACCAAGGCGCUUGAGAGAACUCGGGUGAAGGAACUAGGCAAAAUGGUGCCGUAACUUCGGGAGAAGGCACGCUGAUAUGUAGGUGAAGUCCCUUGCGGAUGGAGCUGAAAUCAGUCGAAGAUACCAGCUGGCUGCAACUGUUUAUUAAAAACACAGCACUGUGCAAACACGAAAGUGGACGUAUACGGUGUGACGCCUGCCCGGUGCCGGAAGGUUAAUUGAUGGGGUUAGCGGUAACGCGAAGCUCUUGAUCGAAGCCCCAGUAAACGGCGGCCGUAACUAUAACGGUCCUAAGGUAGCGAAAUUCCUUGUCGGGUAAGUUCCGACCUGCACGAAUGGCGUAAUGAUGGCCAGGCUGUCUCCACCCGAGACUCAGUGAAAUUGAACUCGCUGUGAAGAUGCAGUGUACCCGCGGCAAGACGGAAAGACCCCGUGAACCUUUACUAUAGCUUGACACUGAACAUUGAGCCUUGAUGUGUAGGAUAGGUGGGAGGCUUUGAAGUGUGGACGCCAGUCUGCAUGGAGCCGACCUUGAAAUACCACCCUUUAAUGUUUGAUGUUCUAACGUUGGCCCCUAAUCGGGGUUGCGGACAGUGUCUGGUGGGUAGUUUGACUGGGGCGGUCUCCUCCUAAAGAGUAACGGAGGAGCACGAAGGUUGGCUAAUCCUGGUCGGACAUCAGGAGGUUAGUGCAAUGGCAUAAGCCAGCUUGACUGCGAGCGUGACGGCGCGAGCAGGUGCGAAAGCAGGUCAUAGUGAUCCGGUGGUUCUGAAUGGAAGGGCCAUCGCUCAACGGAUAAAAGGUACUCCGGGGAUAACAGGCUGAUACCGCCCAAGAGUUCAUAUCGACGGCGGUGUUUGGCACCUCGAUGUCGGCUCAUCACAUCCUGGGGCUGAAGUAGGUCCCAAGGGUAUGGCUGUUCGCCAUUUAAAGUGGUACGCGAGCUGGGUUUAGAACGUCGUGAGACAGUUCGGUCCCUAUCUGCCGUGGGCGCUGGAGAACUGAGGGGGGCUGCUCCUAGUACGAGAGGACCGGAGUGGACGCAUCACUGGUGUUCGGGUUGUCAUGCCAAUGGCACUGCCCGGUAGCUAAAUGCGGAAGAGAUAAGUGCUGAAAGCAUCUAAGCACGAAACUUGCCCCGAGAUGAGUUCUCCCUGACCCUUUAAGGGUCCUGAAGGAACGUUGAAGACGACGACGUUGAUAGGCCGGGUGUGUAAGCGCAGCGAUGCGUUGAGCUAACCGGUACUAAUGAACCGUGAGGCUUAACCUUA